RNAcentral lists this ribosomal RNA (691 nucleotides) under Lactobacillus sp. oral taxon 418. Its description in RNAcentral is "bacterial SSU rRNA". It matches the Rfam family "Bacterial small subunit ribosomal RNA", at positions 393 to 1075 of the family's 1533-position model. Lineage: Bacteria; Bacillati; Bacillota; Bacilli; Lactobacillales; Lactobacillaceae. The record is from RNAcentral.
AACGCCGCGUGAGUGAUGAAGGGUUUCGGCUCGUAAAACUCUGUUGUUGGAGAAGAACAGGUGAUAGAGUAACUGUUAUCAUCUUGACGGUAUCCAACCAGAAAGCCACGGCUAACUACGUGCCAGCAGCCGCGGUAAUACGUAGGUGGCAAGCGUUGUCCGGAUUUAUUGGGCGUAAAGCGAGCGCAGGCGGUUUUUUAGGUCUGAUGUGAAAGCCUUCGGCUUAACCGGAGAAGGGCAUCGGAAACCGGGAGACUUGAGUGCAGAAGAGGACAGUGGAACUCCAUGUGUAGCGGUGAAAUGCGUAGAUAUAUGGAAGAACACCAGUGGCGAAGGCGGCUGUCUGGUCUGUAACUGACGCUGAGGCUCGAAAGCAUGGGUAGCGAACAGGAUUAGAUACCCUGGUAGUCCAUGCCGUAAACGAUGAGUGCUAAGUGUUGGAGGGUUUCCGCCCUUCAGUGCUGCAGCUAACGCAUUAAGCACUCCGCCUGGGGAGUACGACCGCAAGGUUGAAACUCAAAGGAAUUGACGGGGGCCCGCACAAGCGGUGGAGCAUGUGGUUUAAUUCGAUGCUACGCGAAGAACCUUACCAGGUCUUGACAUCUUCUGCUAACCUAAGAGAUUAGGCGUUCCCUUCGGGGACGGAAUGACAGGUGGUGCAUGGUUGUCGUCAGCUCGUGUCGUGAGAUGU